Molecule: ribosomal RNA, 548 nt
Filed under: uncultured marine eukaryote
Lineage: Eukaryota
Description: SSU rRNA
Rfam family: Eukaryotic small subunit ribosomal RNA
Source: RNAcentral
GUUAAAAAGCUCGUAGUUGGAUUUCUGCAGGAGUGCCAAUGUCCGACCACGUUCGUGUGCAGCGGCGCCCCUGCAUCCUUCGGUUACCUCCGCUCGGCAUUCACUUGCCGGCGGUUGGCUCCGAAUAUUUACCUUGAGAAAAUUAGAGUGUUUCAGGCAGGCUUGUCCGGAAUACAUUAGCAUGGAAUAAUAGAAUAGGACUACGGUCUCGUUGUUGGUUUGAGGGACUGGAGUAAUGAUUAAUAGGGAUAGUUGGGGGCAUUAGUAUUUAAUUGUCAGAGGUGAAAUUCUCAGAUUAACUAAAGACUAACUUAUGCGAAAGCAUUUGCCAAGGAUGUUUUCAUUAAUCAAGAACGAAAGUUAGGGGAUCAAAGACGAUCAGAUACCGUCCUAGUCUUAACCAUAAACUAUGCCAACUCGGGAUCGGGGGCGUGUAAUUAUCCGCCUUCGGCACCGUAUGAGAAAUCAAAGUCUUUGGGUUCUGGGGGGAAUAUGGUCGCAAGGUUGAAACUUAAAGGAAUUGACCGAAGGGCACCACCAGGCGUGGA